Molecule: long non-coding RNA, 176 nt
Organism: Lampris incognitus (smalleye Pacific opah)
Lineage: Eukaryota; Metazoa; Chordata; Actinopteri; Lampriformes; Lampridae
Exons: 4
Source: RefSeq, a predicted model, not a curated record
GUUGGUGGGACUGGCAUCGGUGGUUUCCCAGGUCUGAGGGGAGACCCGGGGCCUGAAGGACUGCGGGGAUUCCCGGGCAUGUUGGGACCUCAGGGCCUGAGUGGACGAGCCGGCCUGCCUGGAUUGAAAGGGUGAAGUGGGACAACGGGGUGAACCAGGAGAGAUGGGGUACCAAG